RNAcentral lists this ribosomal RNA (468 nucleotides) under uncultured bacterium. RNAcentral's name for it is "partial 16S ribosomal RNA". It matches the Rfam family "Bacterial small subunit ribosomal RNA", at positions 28 to 507 of the family's 1533-position model. The record is from RNAcentral.
GACGAACGCUGGCGGCGUGCUUAACACAUGCAAGUCGAACGGAAAGGCCCUGCGUUCGUGGGGUGCCCGAGUGGCGAACGGGUGAGUAACACGUGUGUAACCUGCCCUUGACUUUGGGAUAACUUCAGGAAACUGGGGCUAAUACCGGACAGGAGCUCCUGCUGCAUGGUGGGGGUUGGAUAGUUUAGGCGGUUGGGGAUGGACUCGCGGCUUAUCAGCUUGCUGGUGGGGUAGUGGCUUACCCAGGCUUUGACGGGUAGCCGGCCUGGGAGGGUGACCGGCCACAUGGGGACUGAGGUACGGCCCAGACUCGUACGGGAGGCAGCAGGGGGGAGUAUUGCACAAUAGGCGGGAGCCUGAUGCAGCAACGCCGCGUGCGGGAUGACGGCCUUCGGGUUGUAAACCGCUUUCGCCUGAGACGAAGCGUGAGUGACGGUAAUGGGUAAAGAAGCACCGGCUAACUACGUG